RNAcentral lists this non-coding RNA (45 nucleotides) under Schistosoma mansoni. The record is from RNAcentral. Lineage: Eukaryota; Metazoa; Platyhelminthes; Trematoda; Strigeidida; Schistosomatidae.
AUCCAGUUGACGAGUCUUAUAUAUGAGGAAACGCGCGUCCUGCAU